CAAUAGCGUAUAUUAAUGUUGCUGCAGUUGAAAAGCUCGUAGUUGGAUUUCGGAAGUGACUUGGCCGCACUCAGUGCCGCAAGGCGUUGGGAAGAAGCGAGCCUUUGUGUUGCUUUCAUAACGCGCAUUUUUCGGAAUGCGCCGUUUACUUUGAAAAAAUUAGGGUGUUCAAAGCAGGCCGUUUGAGGGCCGUUGGAUAGAUUAGCAUGGAAUAAUGAUAGAUGACGCUCGUCUUGAUUUGUUGGUUAUCGAGGCAGGGCGUAAUGGUUAAUAGGGACAGUUGGGGGCAUUCGUAUUUCGUUGUCAGAGGUGGAAUUCUUGGAUUUGCGAAAGACGAGCCAAAGCGAAAGCAUUUGCCAAAGAUGUUUUCAUUAA
This 375-nucleotide ribosomal RNA is filed under the name uncultured eukaryote. RNAcentral describes it as "partial 18S ribosomal RNA". It matches the Rfam family "Eukaryotic small subunit ribosomal RNA", at positions 592 to 976 of the family's 1831-position model. The record is from RNAcentral.